RNAcentral lists this ribosomal RNA (232 nucleotides) under uncultured bacterium. RNAcentral's name for it is "partial 16S ribosomal RNA". It matches the Rfam family "Bacterial small subunit ribosomal RNA", at positions 99 to 334 of the family's 1533-position model. The record is from RNAcentral.
CGGACGGGUGAGUAAUGUCUGGGAAACUGCCUGAUGGAGGGGGAUAACUACUGGAAACGGUAGCUAAUACCGCAUAACGUCGCAAGACCAAAGAGGGGGACCUUAGGGCCUCUUGCCAUCGGAUGUGCCCUGAUGGGAUUAGCUAGUAGGUGGGGUAACGGCUCACCUAGGCGACGAUCCCUAGCUGGUCUGAGAGGAUGACCAGCCACACUGGAACUGAGACACGGUCCAG